CGAACAGAGCCGCUUCCGCUUCCGCUCACGUUACGCACACACCAUGGGUAACGUCACACGCCCCGCGCCUCGCCCCUCCCAAGUCGUGUUUGCAGUCUCUCGGGCCUCCCGCGUCCUACUUGUCAGUCUGCCCGCGAAAUGGCGCAGACGGGGCACUUCCCACCCCGCUGUACUCUUAGGCCCUUAUGCCGGCAUAGGAACCGUGAAUGUCGAGGACGCUCUUCUGCGGGUCUGGGACCACUUGUGCAACCUGGCGCUUGAAGACUGCUUUCGGACAGUCCUCGACCACCGGUUGCUUGGGAACAUUGAGAAGAGCAAAAGACUAAAGAUGAAGCAAUGAAGUAUACCAACAUUUAGUGAGGAAGGAGAGAAUGAACAACGAAGUGGGAACAAUCAGAAAAGAAGUUAAGUCCUGAAGCCUAAAGAAGGAGAAGUGGACAGCUCUGACGGAGAGCCCAUAAAGCAAAGACUGGGAAGUGAGCACUGGAUGAAGCAGCAGGACAACCAUUGUUUGUAAUUGCCAGGGAAGUAAAGAGUGUAAAAGUGAGAGCAGA
This is a long non-coding RNA of Panthera uncia (snow leopard), 554 nucleotides long. RefSeq lists it as uncharacterized. The transcript is spliced from 2 exons. The record is from RefSeq and is a predicted model, not a curated record. Lineage: Eukaryota; Metazoa; Chordata; Mammalia; Carnivora; Felidae.